This 1928-nucleotide long non-coding RNA is filed under the name Marmota monax (woodchuck). Lineage: Eukaryota; Metazoa; Chordata; Mammalia; Rodentia; Sciuridae. The record is from RNAcentral.
UUCCUUUAUUAUAUGACCUCAGUCUAAUAAUGUAUUAAUUAUAAAAAAGAUAAUGUAUUUGACAUUAAGUAUAACCAAUUUAGCACAGGGUCACCAAAAGGCCUUUUGUCAAAUCAGAUUGUUGUUUUGUCCUUUUGACUUUUACCUUAUGGUAGGCACUAACAAAGUAUCUGAACUUUGAUGGAUUAUAAACUCUAAACAUGAUAUGUAUUUUUCAUAAUGCUAAUGUAAUUUUCAAGGUACUGAAAAGGUCAAACCUGCACAUCUCUAUGUGCAUUCUAAGUCUGUCUUUCCCUUUAAUAUUUCUUUUUCUCUGUUCCUCUGGUUCAAAAGUUCACUCAGUUCCCAAAUGGCCACCUAAUUUUCCAGUUAUUCCCUCAAGCCAUAUGUGUUUUGGUUUCUUUAUGGUUUAUUAGGUACUGUAGGAAAGUAGCAUAAGUUAUAUCUUCUAAUGAAAUUCAAGCACACUUCAGUGAUGCUUCGACUUGAUUGCUGGUAGCAAUUAAAUCACAGCCAAGGAGAAUAAUGCAUAAUCUCACAAGGUCCAGACACCCUAUAGAAAAUGAAUAGAGAUGAAACAGAAAACAAAAACAAAAUCUCCAAACCCUGCCAGACAGGCUGUUUCCAGUCUGCCCUUUUUUUCUUUCUUUUUCUUUUUUUUUUUUUUAACUAGCCAGCUGCCUGAUUGAUAGCAAAAUCAUAACUUGCUGCAUGCUAACAGGCAAAGUUCACUUGUAGGUUAUUGUGAGCUGAUAAAGGGUUAGAUGGAGUUUUGAUUUUCGCAUUGGACCUUGGUACAUCAGAUUAAUGGAAUUUCAAUGAGAGACUAAGAGUAGCCACAGCUUUGUCAGAGAGACAGAUGGAGAUUCUAUAGUCCUGUCCUCUCAUUAAUACUAGUUACCUGAAAGGUGUGCUGCUUCUCUAUACAAAAGAGUUGAUAUAAUUGAUUUUUGAGUGGUACAUCGAAAAAAAGUACCUUAUUGAUGACUAGAAUUGUAACAUAAAUAGUGACAGAUUUUUGUGUGGCUUGUAACAUAAAAAUAUUGCACUUUGUAAUUUUUUUCUUCUUUGGAGACAAUUUUUUUUUUUUGAAGAGAAAUACAUUCUAAGAACAAUUGCAAAAAUAAAAAAAGAGACUACCAUGCUUAAAUUAUCUUUUAGGAAAAAGAGCAAGACUUUACAUUUUAUUUCUAAAUGAUUAUAUGACUUCUAUCAGAGCUUCAUUUUGAUAUGAUAAUAUUUUAAAAAAGCAUACUUAUUAAAAGUUUUAUUUUAUUAGCUUUAUUCUUUUCUGGAAUAUUAAAAAAUGAAUCAUAAUGGUUUCUAGGCUAUUGUAGAUACUGUGGAAGUUUCAUGUUCAUCGUUUGGAGAUAUAUUGGAGUGUUAAUAUUGUUAGAGAUAAUGAGACUUGAAACCUUAAAGAAGAAUUAUUGUACAUGUUACAACAUUUGGGCAUCAAGUGGUAGAUGCAAGGUAGCCGUUAGACACUAUAUAAUGACUUAAGUUUUCAUUUUUCUGUUCUGAAAUCAUUUUUCAUUUAUUUUUGUCAUUUGUGAAAGAAAGCUUCUAACCAUAUAGUAUUGUGGAGAGUCCCUGAGGUAGGUGAAAGGAUUCAGUGAGCUAGAAGACAUAUAUUGGCUCUGCUCGUCAAUGAUAGGUCGAAGGAUCCCAGUGGACAUUUGUUACAAAUCUGAUUCAGUCCUAGACCAUAAUCACUUUGUGGAUAAGAAUCUGGAACCUCUAGGGUGUGAAUGUAGGAAGGCUAAAAUGAAACUGAAGAUAUAGAAGAAUCAUUUAUUGUCGUGGUAUCUUUCUAACUGAAAAUUUCCAAAUGAAAUAAAGCUCUGGGCAUUGGUAAAGGUGUAGGUUUAUAUGAAACAAUGUUUGUUUAAGGAUGGAACUGUUUUUUUUUACAGCUUGGGAUUAAG